RNAcentral lists this ribosomal RNA (495 nucleotides) under uncultured bacterium. RNAcentral's name for it is "bacterial SSU rRNA". It matches the Rfam family "Bacterial small subunit ribosomal RNA", at positions 30 to 507 of the family's 1533-position model. The record is from RNAcentral.
UGAACGCUAGCUACAAGGCUUAACACAUGCAAGUCGAGGGGCAGCAUGACGAUAGCUUGCUAUUGUUGAUGGCGACCGGCGCACGGGUGAGUAACGCGUAUCCAACCUUCCCGUUGCUAGGGGAUAACCUUGCGAAAGUAAGACUAAUACCCUAUGAAGUUCUUCGCAGGCAUCUAAAGAGAACGAAAGAUUUAUCGGCAACGGAUGGGGAUGCGUCUGAUUAGGUUGUUGGCGGGGUAACGGCCCACCAAGCCCACGAUCAGUAGCCGGUCUGAGAGGAUGAACGGCCACAUUGGAACUGAGACACGGUCCAGACUCCUACGGGAGGCAGCAGUGGGGAAUCUUCCGCAAUGGGCGAAAGCCUGACGGAGCAACGCCGCGUGAGUGAAGAAGGUCUUCGGAUCGUAAAGCUCUGUUGUCGGGGACGAAUGUUGAGACUUAGAACAUAAGUUUCAAAUGACGGUACCUGACGAGGAAGCCACGGCUAACUACGUG